RNAcentral lists this ribosomal RNA (443 nucleotides) under uncultured bacterium. Its description in RNAcentral is "partial 16S ribosomal RNA". It matches the Rfam family "Bacterial small subunit ribosomal RNA", at positions 338 to 795 of the family's 1533-position model. The record is from RNAcentral.
CCUACGGGAGGCAGCAGUGGGGGAUAUUGGGCAAUGGGCGCAAGCCUGACCCAGCAACGCCGCGUGUAGGAAGAAGGCUUUCGGGUUGUAAACUUCUUUUCUGCGGGACGAAGAAAGUGACGGUACCUCAGGAAUAAGCCACGGCUAACUACGUGCCAGCAGCCGCGGUAAUACGUAGGUGGCAAGCGUUAUCCGGAUUUAUUGGGUGUAAAGGGCGUGUAGGCGGGAAAGCAAGUCUGAUGUGAAAACCCAGGGCUCAACCCUGAGCCCGCAUUUGAAACUGUUUUUCUUGAGUGCUGGAGAGGCAAUCGGAAUUCCGGGUGUAGCGGUGAAAUGCGUAGAUAUAAGGAGGAACACCAGUGGCGAAGGCGGAUUGCUGGACAGUAACUGACGCUGAGGCGCGAAAGCGUGGGGAGCAAACAGGAUUAGAUACCCUUGUAGUC